RNAcentral lists this ribosomal RNA (482 nucleotides) under uncultured bacterium. RNAcentral describes it as "partial 16S ribosomal RNA". It matches the Rfam family "Bacterial small subunit ribosomal RNA", at positions 30 to 507 of the family's 1533-position model. The record is from RNAcentral.
AUUGAACGCUGGCGGCAUGCCUUACACAUGCAAGUCGAACGGUAACAGGUCUUCGGAUGCUGACGAGUGACGAACGGGUGCGUAAUACAUCGGAACGUGCCCGAUCGUGGGGGAUAACGAAGCGAAAGCUUUGCUAAUACCGCAUACGAUCUACGGAUGAAAGCAGGGGACCGCAAGGCCUUGCGCGAACGGAGCGGCCGAUGGCAGAUUAGGUAGUUGGUGGGAUAAAAGCUUACCAAGCCGACGAUCUGUAGCUGGUCUGAGAGGACGACCAGCCACACUGGGACUGAGACACGGCCCAGACUCCUACGGGAGGCAGCAGUGGGGAAUUUUGGACAAUGGGCGAAAGCCUGAUCCAGCCAUGCCGCGUGCAGGAUGAAGGCCUUCGGGUUGUAAACUGCUUUUGUACGGAACGAAAAGACUCUGGUUAAUACCUGGGGUCCAUGACGGUACCGUAAGAAUAAGCACCGGCUAACUACGUG